This 20-nucleotide non-coding RNA is filed under the name Arabidopsis thaliana (thale cress). RNAcentral also lists the same sequence under 1 other name. The record is from RNAcentral. Lineage: Eukaryota; Viridiplantae; Streptophyta; Magnoliopsida; Brassicales; Brassicaceae.
UAUCCAGCGAAACCACAGCC